UACAUCUGGAAGAGUGUGUCCAGUUCUGGACCUCUCAGUUCAAGAAGGAUCUCAAGGAAUUGCCUGGAAGAAUCCAGGGCAGAGCCACAAAAGUGAUGGAGUGGAAACAUCUUCUUUAGGAGGAGCGCCUGAGGGUGCUGGGGGUUGUGAGCUUGGAGAAGAGCAGCCUGAGAGGUGACCUCAUUCAUGCUUAUACAGAUGUAAAUGCAACAGCUAAACUUCCCUUUGUUUAAACUGCACACAGAGGCUGGAUCAGAAGCUGACAACCUGUGUGCCACAUGAAGGCCGCUCACAAGUGCUCUUCUGCUCUCAGCAGCAGAAUACACUUAAAGGCACAGUUCAGCU
Long non-coding RNA from Pogoniulus pusillus (Red-fronted tinkerbird), 345 nucleotides. RefSeq lists it as uncharacterized. The record is from RefSeq and is a predicted model, not a curated record. The transcript has 3 exons. NCBI's taxonomy places the organism in Eukaryota, Metazoa, Chordata, Aves, Piciformes, Lybiidae.